AUACUUACCUGGUAGGGAUGAUACCAUGAUCACGAAGGUGGUUUGCCUGGGGCGAGGCUUAUCCAUUGCACUCUGGAUGUGCUGACCCCUGAGAUUUCCCCAAAUGUGGGAAACUUGACUGCAUUAUUUAUGGUAGUGGGGGACUGUGCUUGUGCUUUCCCCUA
This is a small nuclear RNA of Manis pentadactyla (Chinese pangolin), 164 nucleotides long. RefSeq annotates it as U1 spliceosomal RNA. The transcript has a single exon. NCBI's taxonomy places the organism in Eukaryota, Metazoa, Chordata, Mammalia, Pholidota, Manidae. The record is from RefSeq and is a predicted model, not a curated record.